CUGGUAUAAAAAGGGGGAACAGGUGUUUCAGAACCCACACUCAUCCCUGACACACCCUGCCACAGGUCCAGACAACCCAGAGCAGAAUACAUCUUUAAUCUUCCAGUCAUGGCAAAGAUUUUCAAGAAGACCAGUGGAAACGGAGGGCUGACCCUCUACCUGGGAAAGAGAGACUAUGUGGACCACGUGUCCUCUGUGGAAAAACUCGAUGGUGUUGUGAAGGUGGACACUACAGACUUUGGAGACAGAAAAGCUUUCGUGCAGAUGGCCUGUGCCUUCCGUUAUGGAAGUGACGACCUGGAUGUGAUGGGCCUGUGCUUCAGGAAGGACAUCUGGAUCCAGCAGAUACAGAUUUACCCGGAAAGCAGCAAACCAGCGCUGAGCGCCAUGCAUGACACCUUACUGAAGAAAGCUGGAGACAAUUCCUACCCUUUCUCUUUCGAAAUUCCCACCAACUUGCCAUGCUCAGUUUCUCUGCAGCCUGGACCUGAUGACAAGGGAAAGGCUUGUGGAGUUGACUUUGAAGUGAAAACUUACCUUGCCAAGGAGAAGAACAACCCGGAUGAAAAGAUUGAUAAGAAGGAUACAGCUCGCCUCGUCGUCCGUAAAAUCCAGUAUGCCCCCUCUCAGGUCGGCGCUGGGCCCAAGGCAGACGUCUGCAAAAGCUUCAUGAUGUCUGACAAACCCGUUCACCUAGAGGCAUCCAUGGAGAAAGAUCUCUACUUUCAUGGUGAAGACAUCCCAAUUAAAAUUAAAAUCAAUAACGAGAGCAACAAAACAGUCAAGAAAAUUAAAAUCACUGUGGACCAAACCACUGACAUCGUCCUCUACUCAGCAGACAAAUAUACCAAGACUGUUCUUAACCAGGAGUUUGGGGAGACAGUAGAUGCAUCCAGCACUGCUGACCUUUGUUUGACCAUCAAGCCCGCUCUCUCCGAAAACAAGGAGAAGAGGGGUCUGGCUCUGGAUGGACGGCUGAAGGACGAGGACACAAACUUGGCCUCCACCACCAUGAUACGGCCAGGUGUAGAGAAAGAGGUGUUGGGCAUCUUGGUUUCCUACAAGAUUAAAAUUAACCUCAUGGUGGCCGGAGGAGGUCUGCUGGGUGGCCUUACUGCCAGUGAUGUAACAGUGGAACUGCCACUCAACCUUAUGCACCCAAAGCCCGCAGGUAACUUUCUGAAAACGCACACAUUAUUUUAGGACUUUUAGUUUACUUUCACUAAUGAUGUUUUCCAUUUUUCCUCAAAAUGUUUUUCAUGUAACCCAACCAAACUGAGCAGAGUAGGGACAACACACCUCUACCAGACGUUACCCUGCAGGAACAGGCACCAAAAAGAGAGCAAAGAAGAAAACAAAAGGGAUUUGCACAGAAGGAAAAGGAAGAAGAAAGUCAAUGUUUCCCUGAAAAAGCAAUGGACAAAAAAAUUUUACUUUUUAACAAAAAAAGACAAACUUUCAGUCCCCUUGCGUUCCUUUUGUUGCAAAGUCUUUGUAGUUGAACCAUGUCAGUUAGCUUUAGAGACUGUUUAUGAGCUCAAUUAAAGUAAAUGAGGUUGGAAGAUUCCCCACAGUUAAGUAGAUGUGCUAAAGUUCUUUUGUUUUUUUGUUUUUUGAAGGAUGCAGUAAAUAUUAAGCAUUUUCAUGAAGCCAUGCGAUUUAUGUUGCUUUUAAAUACUGUAAACAAAUGAAUCUGUUGAAUUAAACCAGAAUGGUAAAUUGGACUCACCACACACCUUCAUGAGCAAUAAAAUAAAAUUGUAAAAUGUA
This is a non-coding RNA of Oryzias latipes (Japanese medaka), 1770 nucleotides long. The record is from RefSeq and is a predicted model, not a curated record. Lineage: Eukaryota; Metazoa; Chordata; Actinopteri; Beloniformes; Adrianichthyidae.